UACAACGUAAAAGUCACUCUAGCACAGCUCACGUUAUUACUCCACUCUUCCUACGAGAACAUUUCAUCUGACCACUGACCAUAAGCCACACUUCCGACUGCACUUGGAACAGAAAAGGUGUCUGCUCUACUGAAGGGGACUCGUCUGGACAGUGGACUGAGGUCAUAGUUGGCAAUGCCCUUAUCUUUGGCAGACUUUGCCACCAUCAGUAUCUGGUGGUUCUGCCCAAGAAAGAAUUUAAAGGGUCAUGAGAGUCAACACAAAUGCUUUUACUGACCUCUAGUGGUUGAAACUGAAGAUGCAGCACACACUAAGCUAAAUCUAAUUGCGGUUUGCUCUACACACACUAUGUUCAAAAGUUUGUGGACACCCCUUCUGCAUUAAGGUGCACUCACUUUUCACACAGAAAUUCAAAUGCACACUCAGCUUGUAUAGUCUCCAUAGCACUGGCAACACAGCAGGAUGCUCUGGAGCGGCCGCACACGAGCCCAAGGUCAACGUCCAAUGCCAAGCAUAGGCUAGAGGGGUAUGAAUUUUUUUUUUUGAAUAAAAGGGGUUGAUGUGGUGUGUAAACACUGUUAAAGUGUGACAGUGUGUCACACAGUCCCUAGUCAUGUGGGUUUUUGGUGCAUAAACCCUCACAAACGUUACGCACUCAGGGAAAAAAAUAAAAUUUAAGAAUAAUGUAGGAUGUGGGCCCCUUAAAUUACCUGUCAGACUGCUAUCUGGAAAAACAAGUAGUAAUGAUUUGGGACAAUGAAGCCAGUCUUUGAAAUGUCUCUACCAGUUUUGUUCAAGGCCCCAAUCAAGUCCAUUUUAUUUGAAAUGUCACUCCAGUAUGGUUUAAAUGGGCCCAUCUUUCAUUUUCUUGUAUUUAAUUUUCUUCCCUGAGGCUCACUAACAUUUGUUUAUGUACCAAAACACUUAUAAUUAAUUUUUACAACAUUUUCAUUUUUAUAUUAUAUCUAUGUCUUUAAGACUGAAAUAUGUAAGUUUUCUGAUGAUCUUAUACUGUGCCUCAUUUAAAAAGCAGUCAUUUCAGCACUCUUUGUAAACUUUAGCGUAACUGAGUUGGUUUUGUCACAUUACAAAAACAAUGUAACAAUGUGUUUUUGCAGCCCAACUUCUAUAUACACUGACCGGCCACUGUCUGCACUCGUUGUCCAUCAUACAGGUGCACUUUGUAUUUCUACAAUUACAGACUGUAGUUCGCCUGUUUCUCCAAUUACUUUGUUAGCCCCCUUUCACCCUGUUCUUCUGUGGUCAGGACCCCCACAGGACCACCACGGAACAGUUAUUAAUUGUGUGGUGGAUCAUUAUCAGCACUGCAGUCACAGUGAUGUGGUGGUGGUGUGUUAGUGUAUGGUCAGCUGUUAUGAGUGGAUCAGAAACAGCAGUGCUGCCAGCCACCAAAAUUAUACCUGCUCUAUGGUGACCCAGUGAAGGUUCUGACCAUUGAAGAACAGGGUUAAAGGGAACCAACGAAGUAUGCAUAGACACGGAUGGACUACAGUCCUGAUAAAAUGAAAAAAGAAUGUAUACAGGAGGUGUACUUAAUGAAGUAGCUGGUUCUGUAUGUUCUGUAUGUCAACAGAGUGAAAGGUAUGUUUGGAAACUUUAAUAAUGUUUACACACGACAUAAAACUCUUUCAAAAGAGUCAAAUUUUUGAGGAAAAUUUGGUGUCUCAUAGGGCCGACCUGAAUAAUCGACUUAUAAUUAUUAGUUUAAUAGAACACUCUUAUAGAAUUUUCAGAGUUAGGGGCUUAUUUAUCACUGUUUUGAGCAAAACAUUGUAUUAUAAAACCAAAAAAAAAUGUCACUUUACAUUGCUUUACACUGGAUGUGAUGUUAGGCUACAGAAUUAUGUCAUACCCAAGUAAGGUUGGCUAAAGGCUGAACACAGCCACACUCCUCUUUACAAACUGAAAACUGGAAUAGUUUGAUUAAGAAAACAAACAAUCCAAAUUAUCGUUAAUUAUGAAUGUAAACGUUCUAAUUUUUAGGGGAAGUGCUGAGAAUGAGUAUUCGAGUAUUUGUUCAAAAACACCAGCGAGCAUUCAAAGCAUGUAAAAUGCUGUUUGGGCCAAUCGUAGUUUCUUAAGUGACUCGUGUCAUUAAAGGUGCAGUGGGUAAGAUUUAGACAUCUAGUGGUAAGGUUGCAGAUUGCAGCCUACUAAAUACCCCUCCCUUUUCAAGCGUGUAGUAGAACUUACAGUGGCUGUCAUGUAUUCGCUUCUUUGACGACAAGCAUUCACCUUUCUUUGCUUUUUUGUGCUAAAUAGUAACUGUGAUCCUCCAUUUGUCAAAAUUUGGGUUCUUAAACUUCUUACAACACAAAAUGGUUAGCCAGCGCUGGCAGC
Molecule: long non-coding RNA, 2361 nt
Organism: Colossoma macropomum (tambaqui)
Lineage: Eukaryota; Metazoa; Chordata; Actinopteri; Characiformes; Serrasalmidae
Exons: 4
Source: RefSeq, a predicted model, not a curated record